CUGCACAGUGAACACCCAAGGGUGCCAGCGUGGCUCUCCCUGGUCUCAUGUCUCUGUGCUAUAGCGACUCUGGUGUGUACCUCUGCGUUGGGAGAGCUUCCUUCUCUCCUACAUGUAUUCAGCGCAUCAGUACAAAG
Molecule: small nucleolar RNA, 137 nt
Organism: Thalassophryne amazonica
Lineage: Eukaryota; Metazoa; Chordata; Actinopteri; Batrachoidiformes; Batrachoididae
Product: small nucleolar RNA SNORA22
Exons: 1
Source: RefSeq, a predicted model, not a curated record